RNAcentral lists this ribosomal RNA (406 nucleotides) under Calocalanus curtus. RNAcentral describes it as "eukaryotic LSU rRNA". It matches the Rfam family "Eukaryotic large subunit ribosomal RNA", at positions 331 to 666 of the family's 3401-position model. Lineage: Eukaryota; Metazoa; Arthropoda; Copepoda; Calanoida; Calocalanidae. The record is from RNAcentral.
AGACCGAUAGCAAACAAGUACGGUGACGGAAGAUUGAAAAGAACUUUGAAGAGAGAGUUCAAUAGUACAUGAAACUGUGUGGUGGUAAACGGAGGGAUUCUUGAAGUUUCUGUGAAGAACUCAGCCUUGGUGUGAGGCAGUCUGGUUCUAUCUGAUCAGCAAUGACAGUGGGGCUAGUCUGGCUUUGCUCACGGGUGCAUUUUCUUUGCAGUUUACGGCAGGAACCAUUUGGCGUUGAUCUAUGGCUCUGGGUGAAGUUACAGGCCUAGCUUGUAGCCCUGGAUGUCCUGACUCCACACCAGAUGGGUAAUUGAGGAAACUCGUAUAGCGAGCAAUGCUCUGUUGCAGUUUCCAUCUCUCUGCCGAGUAGGUCAGAGGUCCCUCCGACCCGUCUUGAAACACGGAC